RNAcentral lists this unclassified non-coding RNA (996 nucleotides) under Hevea brasiliensis (rubber tree). The record is from RNAcentral. Lineage: Eukaryota; Viridiplantae; Streptophyta; Magnoliopsida; Malpighiales; Euphorbiaceae.
CACAGAGGAAAAAGUCUCAAAAAUUGUUUCCAGCUUUCAGGGGUCGGUAUCUUUGGACCAACACAACCCAGGGGUAGCUUUUAAUGGGGUCUCUGCGUCUCCAGAUGUGCUUCUAAAAGAUAAGUUCACCGAUGAGGUAGAAUCAGUUUUGCCAAAUUUUAGAUACUCGGAGCCAUCAAAGGAAGGAUUUCUUUUUAGAAACUCAGCUAAUGAAGUGAUGAAAGAUGCUGGUACUGAAGUAAUUCAUGAAGUGAAACACAGAGAUAUUGGGACAGAAAUGACUCCCCUAGGCAGUUCCACAACUUCUAGAUGCCACACACCAUUCAAAAGCUCAUCGCCUGCUCGCCAUAACACGCCUGCCAAUAGGUCAGGCCCUUUGCCAUUAGGGAAUUCUAGCAGCACCAACAGCAGCAUCGACAUUUCCCAGUUACAAGCUUGCCAUUUGGCUAAGCUACAACAUGGGUCACAAUAUGAUUCUGUUACAACAAAUUGGAGCUCAAGGGAAGAAGAGGAAGAGGAAAUAUCAAAGAGCCUAAGACACUUUGAAACAGGCAUUACUUGCCGGAGAAGUGUUUCAGAUUCUAGAGCUGCUACGUGGGAGGAAGAGGAAAAGACAAAAUGCUGUCUUAGGUACCAAAGAGAGGAAGCGAAAAUUCAAGCUUGGCUGAACCUCCAAACUGCAAAAGCAGAAGCUCAAUCAAGAAAGCUUGAGGUGAAAAUACAAAAGAUGAGAUCAAACUUAGAAGAGAAGUUGAUGAAGAGGAUGGCACUUGUUCAUAAAAAAGCCGAAGAAUGGAGAGCUGCAGCUCGCCAGCAACACAGUGAGCAGAUUCAAAAUGCUAGUGAACAAACGAAGAAGAUGAUGAACCGACAAUUCUCUAGCCCUGCAUCUUGUGGUUGCUUCCCUUGCAACUCCUAUCCUUGAUCUACAAAUAAUAGAAAGAUGUAUCCCCUGCUCUUUCUAAGCAAAAUCCAAAUCUAUUAAAUUCUUUUCUU